AGUGGCGAAGGCGCUCUACUGGGCCGUAACUGACGCUGAGGGACGAAAGCUAGGGGAGCGAAAGGGAUUAGAUACCCCUGUAGUCCUAGCUGUAAACGAUGGAUACUAGGUGUUGGACGUAUCGACCCGUUCAGUACCGCAGCCAACGCGAUAAGUAUCCCGCCUGGGGAGUACGCACGCAAGUGUGAAACUCAAAGGAAUUGACGGGGGCCCGCACAAGCGGUGGAGUAUGUGGUUUGAUUCGAUGCAACGCGAAGAACCUUACCAGGGCUUGACAUCCCGCGAACCUUGAUGAAAGUUGAGGGUGCCUUCGGGAACGCGGAGACAGGUGGUGCAUGGCUGUCGUCAGCUCGUGUCGUGAGAUGUUGGGUUAAGUCCCGCAACGAGCGCAACCCACGUCCUUAGUUGCCAUCAUUAAGUUGGGCACUCUGGGGAGACUGCCGGGGACAACUCGGAGGAAGGUGUGGAUGACGUCAAGUCAUCAUGCCCCUUACGUUCUGGGCUACACACGUACUACAAUGCUUCGGACAAAGGGCAGCCAACUAGCGAUAGUGAGCUAAUCCCAUAAACCGAGGCACAGUUCAGAUUGCAGGCUGCAACUCGCCUGCAUGAAGGAGGAAUCGCUAGUAAUCGCCGGUCAGCAUACGGCGGUGAAUACGUUCCCGGGCCUUGCACACACCGCCCGUC
Molecule: ribosomal RNA, 687 nt
Filed under: uncultured bacterium
Lineage: Bacteria
Description: bacterial SSU rRNA
Rfam family: Bacterial small subunit ribosomal RNA
Source: RNAcentral